ACACUAAAAGGCACAAAGAACGAAGUGCAUUUCCAUCCGCCCUGUCUUUCCAGGCGGUGCAUCACCAGUCACGGCUAUUGAUGAGCACUUGGAACAAUACCAAAAUGCAGUGUAAGAUCAAUCCUGCUGUUUACUCCGUUGAGCUAAAGGAACAAAGAACAGAAGAAAGGCCUUAACCAGGCCAUCACAGAGCAGAGAAUGGAGGAUAAAAAAAACAGCCUGAUGGGCAGUCGCACAGAGUAAAUGUAUUUGGAGAAGCAGCAUCCCCGGCUGAGAUAAAAAACCAACGAUGAUUUGUAUUUUGUGCUGUAUCUUCAGGGGAUAAAAGCACUUCUAGCAGAUAGUAUUGGAGGCAAACUUGAAACACUGCUGCAAAGUGCUGUGCUCCUUGCCAAGGAGAGAAUAAAAACUCCCUAAUUGCUGAGGAGUGUUAAGUAUCUGCUUGUGCAUGCCUCUCUCCUCCCGUGGAGAGGCAACUCAACCAGGCCUGCCUUUUAACUCCAUGGGCCCCUGCUCCCCAACAGUUGGCUAGGGCUUGAUGUCAACAAAGCAACAGGAUACUGGGUCUUACUUGGAUGGCUCGGAGCAUCUGUGCCGCACUGAGCACACUGACGAGUUGUGCAUCCGGAAGGAGAGGCUCAACCACACUCAUGAUUACUUUCCAGCGUGCAAGUGGAGAACGUUAGGACCACAAGCACUGAAGCACAGGCAGCUCCAACACUCCUGCUGAGCUUUACCAAGAUGGGGCCUGUGAGAUGCCUCAACAGAUCUUGCAUUCUGCACUGAUUUACUGACACAGCGUGUGAAAACUAAAUAGUAACUAAGACCCUGGCUAGAACUCUUGUCUUUGGGGGCUUUAGUAAAUCCCAUUUUCCAGGUGCCAAGGCAAGAAGAAUGCAGCUGUACUAUGUUCAACUCAUCUUUAGGUUUAUGUUAAGAAGCCAAUAAUUAUUGCAUGCAAUGGAGGUCAGCUUCACUACGGCCAAUCUGCAAGCUGCUGAGAGACAUUAGCCAGUCACAAUCGAAGCAGCUGAGUUGUCAGAUUCUGCAACAGCACAGCACAGCACUACUUGACUAUCACUAUUACCCCCAGGACAAAGGCAAUGAUAAAUGGGCAUCAUCUAAUGCCAGGAAGGGGCAAAGCCACGACCAAAGGCCAAAUCCAUUUUGCAGACCCAAACACACUUACUUUCUAGAGGACUAUGUACCACUGGGCCAGGAGCUUUGCUAAAGUACCCUCAAAGGAGGUGUGUGAGAGCACAAUUAACCCGCCGUGCAAAGACGGGUCUGAUAUUCCACUGCGAUAAGAUAAUACCACAUGUGCUUAAAAUGUCCAUUAAAUAAUUAGGAACACACAAAACUGUGAGUAACAGCCCAGGGUUGGGGGUAGUACAUCACAUUUUUUCCUGUAUUAGUUUUUGUUUGUGCUUUCUCCAAAGUGAAAUAUUUUUGUAAAAAUCUCUAUGAUUUUAAAAGAAUGCCACCCUCCACAGCAUCCAUCUCAUCAACACACCCUACGAGAUCGUGCAUGACCCUUGAAUAAAUGAGCAGCAACGUUGCCUCUGGCUUGAGAAAGUUCCUUCAUUUCUCUGAGCUAUGUACUUAAAGCUAAAUACUGUUCCUAUGCUGGGGGUUCAGUAUUGUUGCUAAAAUUCUUUGCCUGGGAAAAAUUAAAGAAUAUCUACCCCUCUUCCUCGGCCCAAAGGAAAUACUGUAAAAAGAUUCACCAAACUUUGGAGGGGUUGGGGAGUUCCAGGCUUACUGACAAAGCAGUAAGAGAGUGGGGUUACAGCAGGUCACCUAAAAUAGCCACACUGGAAGGUCUGCACCCCACAUGGGGUGGCUUCCCUGUGGCAACUUAUAUGGAGCUACCCCCCUCAUCUUUCCUCUCUCAAUAAACCAAGCACAACUAAGGCACUAUUGCACACACCAUCUGGCUGAAGUGGAUGGUGGUUGGAUACACAAGUGAGGGUUCUGUGACCCUCCCAUGACUUCCCUUUCCUGUGAGGGAAGUAGUCAACAGGCUCUGCAGUGAUGAGCCUGUAUGAGGAGGCCCUGAAGAACUCCUGAAGAUGGUGGCUUGGAGGCUAGUCCUCUACAACAAGGGUCAAAGUCUCCAUUUCCUCGCCUUGUAAAACUGAAAGGAAAACCAUAAGAUCCACUGGUACAGAAGUGUCAAGAGUGCCAAAUGUGGGGAAGAAGAUAAAACAGAGUGCGGGUUUAAGCUGCUUGUGGACUAACACUUCAGAGGAAAGGCAACAAGGAGAAGAAUCCAUGUGGAUCAGCUUCCCUGAAAUAGUCCACAACACUUCUACAACAAGAGGGAAGAUGGAACAGAACGUGUGUGCCUACAGACAGACAUGUCGGGAGAAGUGGGGGAAAUUCCUUGCUUGGCUGAUUUUGUUUUCUCAGGAAAAUACAAAGGAGUGGGGUUCUAGACUGGGAGGAAACCAGUGAGACUGUAUGGGAGAUUGGUCAGGCAAAUUGGAGAAGUGUUGAACAGUAACAGAAAGAAUUCCCUUAACAGGGAAAGGAAUGCCAGCCAUAGAGUUAUGUGUCUGGUGACCCAGAUUUAGAUACAAAAACAUAGCACUUGCCUUACAGUUUACUAGUUUAUGCUAAGUUAAUAUGAAUGACCAUGGCCUGAGAAUGUAGGCUCGGGUUACUAGUCACAGAGCAAGUUUAGUCUCCAAUCAAUGCAUUCAGUGGGACAUCAAGUAGCUGGGUUACAGCAAAGCAGGGUAAAGACUACUGUAGGUUUCAGAUGCUAUCUGAUCACAUUCUUGGCUUUAAGGGUUGAUGGAAGCUGAUGGUCAGCUAUAGUUUCCUAAAUGUUUUCACUGAUAGUUGAGAGGACAUUAGGUUAGAUAGAGUUGUGAGUAAUAAACGACAAUUAAGGGAGUUACAGAUGGUGUUGCAAAUCUACCAUCACCAGUUCUGAUCAGUCAACCGACCUUGUAGAAUCUUGAAAAUGAGUGUGUGGUUUGGUUUGGUUUGGUUUGGUUUGAUUUGGUUUGGUUCAGGGACCUCCAGUUUACAUGAUCUUUAUAUGAGAUUUACUGGUUCAAAUUAUACAUUUUCCCCAUCAAAGUUUAGACAAGUGUAGAUAUGGAAGGACGAUUGAAUGACGUUAGCCAAAACUGGAUUUUAUCCUGUGGAGGAGUGAAUGAUCCAGAGGAUGCAAAAAUUGAUGAUGUAAGCAUGGAGUGAUUCUAAUAGUGAGCUGGAGAAUCUUACCUGGGGAUAGGAGGAAAUAAAUUCACAAGAACUAAAGUAAAGAGCAAGAGAGAUAUCCCUGCCAUGGAGUUCACAGUGAAUAUACAGUAUUCGUGCUGAUAAGAUUGAGAAGGUGGUGUGGAAAUUAGAUGAAAGAGGUAGACAUUGUAGAGAGGAGGUAAGCAGCUGGAAGGUCACAAGGACCGUGGACCAAAUACCUGAAUGUGUGAUCAUCCUAAUCCACACUGGAGACAGGCUAGAAAGCAGAGCACCGACUGCUAACCCUGGCUAACGAUGGCUGCCGUGCCAAGAGCUUCCCACUCAGGCCCGCUGUGUUUCCUCCCUCCACCUUCACAGAGCGGAUCAUGGAACUCAUAGACAAGCUCCCCUGCCCUCUAGCCAGAGUGAUCCUGGAAUAUUUAUUGCCCUCACUUCUUCUCAUGCAGAAUUUCUGGGGACCAACGUCAUCUGUUCAGGCAUCCUCAAACAGCCAGCUCUGCCCUUCUCCCGUCUACUCCCCGCUCCCAAUCCAUACUUCUCCCUAUAACAAAGAAGUUUACUGUUAUUAGCCCUAGGCACACUAUGCUAGGGAUUUCCCUCACCCCAAUCAUACUUUUGUAAAAGGUCCCUUUAUUAAACUUAGCACAAAUUAUCCUAAUUUGAGUAGGCCAUCUGUUUUCUGCUGGGAGCCUACUGAAAAAAUAAAUGACAGUAAUAUGAAUAUCUGUCUUGCUGGGUCCAUUGUAGAACCUAGAGAAAUUAUAUGCAACUAGCAAGGUCUGGCAAAUUAUACCCAGUGGUAGUGGGGUGGGAAGGAAUAGUAGCAGUUGUCUUAGUUGUUAUUGGGAUAAACCUACACACUAUAUUCAGGCACAAGCAGGGCCUUGAAUUUGUAACUAGAUGUUGAUCGAGAGUCAAACACCUGGCUUCUGAUACCACUCAGAAACCCUCAGAUCCAGUAGCAGCCAGCUAAAUCAAUCAAAUCAUUAUAUGAAAAAAUACAUCCAGUAAAGGGAUGGAAAAGAACUUUAAGGGGAAAAAAAUAACCAAGUAGUUGGCUUCCACGGUGAUCUCUAUAGAUAGGCUGUCCAGCAUAACCACGAUGUGGAUCCAUCUAGGGCAUGUGGAGAAUGAGAGACAGGAGAGGCCCUAGCCUCAAGUCACCCCCAUACUCCUGCUCCUGAACCCUGUAGCUCUAUUCUUGCUUCUGGGGUCCAGCAGCAGAACUGCUACUUAGAACCUGGGACCCAGGCCACAGACACCACUGCACACUUGAAAAUAGUUCACAGCCGGCAAUGACCUACCAUAUGCCUCAGAGCUUGACUUUGCAAAGGAAAGCCACCUCCCCAUCUCUUUUCUGGACCAUAGAAACCACCAGCCCUCGAUUUCAAGUGCAAGGACAGGAUUGAGGUUUCAUCCAGGGGAGACAACCUAGGAUGGGCUCAAAGGAAAAUAUCCUGAGAAUAAACUCAGAACAGACCCAACUCAUUUGUACAUUUAGCAAAACAAAGAGGAUCCACAUGCUGCUACCAAUGUUCAGUAUCAAUCAAAACACGCAAGGUCAUUAUAAACAUGCAAGACUGUUCUUUCCUGCCACUUUAAGUGGCUUCCCAGUACCAUCUGGGAGAAACCAAAUCCCCUCGUGGUUCUUCAAAAUGCACCAAUCUUUAAACUCCACAGUCUGCCAUUUUAGAAGCCACUUGUCUGCCUUCUCAGGUCCUUGUUAUGAUAUGCUCUCUCUGAGUGGAGCAUGGGACUCCUCAUAUGUUGUUCUCAACUUCCCACCCUCCCCCACCCUUCUACCUGUUUCAGUGACUUCUAUUGCACUUUGAAUACAGUGUGCUUUGUUUCUUCCAGGAAGCCUUCUAUAACCCUCAGAACAAUUACACUAGACUGUGAUACCCCCAUCUAGCCUUCUGUGUUCAUGCACAGUCAAAACUUUUGUAAUUAUUGCACUUCUGACUUCUUCCAUUAGACCACUCCAUAAGAGCACAGAGUGCAUCUGUCUUGUUCUAAACCUGUGGUCAUGACCCCUUUCGGGGAUGGAAAGACCCUUUCAUGGGAUGAAUAUCAGAUAGCCUGCAUAUCAGACAUUUACAUUACAAUUUGUAACAGUAGCAAAAACUAGGGUUAUGAAGAAGCAACAAAACAAUUUUACGAUGGGGAUCACAACAGCAGGAGGAACUGUAUGAAAGGGUCGCAGCAUUAGGAAGGGUGAAAAUCACCGCUGUCAACUUUACCCAAGCAUAUGAUGCAUAGAAAGCCCUCAGCAAACAGCAGCUCAAUAAAUGUGUGAUACUUAGAGCAUGUUUAAAAU
This is a long non-coding RNA of Mus musculus (house mouse), 5533 nucleotides long. RefSeq annotates it as predicted gene, 53670. NCBI's taxonomy places the organism in Eukaryota, Metazoa, Chordata, Mammalia, Rodentia, Muridae. The transcript is spliced from 3 exons. The record is from RefSeq and is a predicted model, not a curated record.